Non-coding RNA from Cinara cedri, 231 nucleotides. The record is from the annotation of a GenBank genome assembly. NCBI's taxonomy places the organism in Eukaryota, Metazoa, Arthropoda, Insecta, Hemiptera, Aphididae.
GAACCCGUUUGAUUAUUAUUCAUUGGGUAUUUUAUACAUAAUAAAGUAACUAAGUAUGAGCAUUCCGUGUAUUAGGAACCUAAUUAUACAUUUGUUUUUUCUGUCUUAUAUGAAAAUUAACUUUCUGCUCGACAUUAUAUUUCAAUGAAUUUGUUGCGGUAUCCACGCAGAGAUGAUGCAGACGAUGUGUUCUACGUCACGAACCGUAGAAAUUCUAAGCGAAUUGCGUUU